Molecule: long non-coding RNA, 1215 nt
Organism: Mobula hypostoma (lesser devil ray)
Lineage: Eukaryota; Metazoa; Chordata; Chondrichthyes; Myliobatiformes; Myliobatidae
Exons: 4
Source: RefSeq, a predicted model, not a curated record
CCUGGAGGAACUCAGCAGGUCAAGCAGCAUCUACGGGAGGAAUCAACAGUCACUAUUUCGGGAUAAGACCCUUCAUGAGGACUGGAAAUGAAGGGAAGGAAGCCCGAAUAAGAAGGCAGGUGGAGAGGGAGUACAGUCUGGCAGAUGAUAAGUGAAACCAGGGUUCUUUUGAAGACCCUGACCUGGAGUUACACGUUGACUUCGUUCUUUGCGGAAUGGGACCCGCCUUCAGAGUUUCACGACUGGCCGUUAUUUGAUAUACCAAGGAUGUGGCCUUUGAGAUUAGUUCGCCUUCGGAGUUCUGGGAUCACGGGCGGACCGAAGUGCAUGACCUGCUGUGAAUAUUGGAAUUGCUGGAUUUAGAAAGAUGCUACCAACUGAGGUACAGUCGUGCCAAUCAAGACAUUUGUCUGGGGAUAAUCCAAGUUAGAACACCUGUCAUUUUCUUGGUGUGAGAUGCAUAGUUAAUGACUUCAAUCAUUAUGUAAAACACAUUUCAGCCCAUACUAAUAAAUUGCAGCACAAAGCUCUAGACUACAACUGUUGUGGAACUGUCUCAUGCAUUUUCAGCACAUUGCAAUCCUACUUUAUUCACAUUUUAAAGAACACGCUGCUGCCUAUUUGGAUUUAUACAUGGCAUUUAAUAAGGAACAGCAUCAAAGGCAAAGCAUGAGAUUUUAGGUCACAGUGCGCUAGCAUGAACUGAAGAGAAGAUAGAGUUGAAAAAGAUAUGUAGAUAGGAUCAUUUACUCUAUCCACUGCUUCCAGUUUAAUCUUCUUUCCAUUGGUGAGAUCCGACAUAGAUUGCGGAGCUGUUUCUUCGAGUACCUUUGCUCAAGCUGCCACAACAGGCAAAAUUACCCAGAGGACACCCAUUUUAAUUUACUACCCAUUCCCAUUCAAACAUGUCAGUCCGUGACCUCCUUUACUGCCAUGAUGAGGCCACUUUCAGUUUGGAAGAGCAACGGCUCAUAUCUUUCUGGGUAGCCUCCGAACCUGAUGGCAGCAAUAUUGAAAUCUUUAACUUGUGGUACUUUCUCCCCCUUGUCAUCUUUUUUUCCAUUCCCCAUUCUGGCUCUCAUUUGACUCAUUCUCCUCUCCUCACCUGCCUAUCACCUGCUUCAGGUGCCCGUCCUCCUUCCCUUUCUCUCAUGGUCCACUCUCCUCUCCUAGUAGACUCCUCCUUCAGCCCUUUUCUAUCACCUUCCGGCUCUU